UGGGGCUCAUUAGGCAGAGCAGGGUGCAGAGGUGCCCGCCGCCAGCCCCGGAGGCCACCUUUGAGCCGUGGGGGCGGCUUCAUUAAGCGGCGCUAACAAGGCUUUCAAAUGCCGGGCCCAGCAGCUUUCUUGCAGUGGCGGGGCCUUAGCAGGGCGCCAGGCUAAUGAGGGUCACUCAAAGGGGCUGAUCAAAUAUUCAAAUUUCACCGCGCGCCGGGAACUUUUAUGUGCGGAGAAAGUUGAGGCAACUGAGCUGUGUUUACUGUCCCC
This is a non-coding RNA of Myotis davidii, 270 nucleotides long. Lineage: Eukaryota; Metazoa; Chordata; Mammalia; Chiroptera; Vespertilionidae. The record is from Rfam.